UACGUAGGGGGCUAGCGUUGUCCGGAAUCAUUGGGCGUAAAGCGCGCGUAGGCGGCCCGGUAAGUCCGCUGUGAAAGUCAAAGGCUCAACCAUUGAAUGUCAGCGGAUACUGCCGGGCUAGAGUCCGGAAGAGGCGAGUGGAAUUCCUGGUGUAGCGGUGAAAUGCGCAGAUAUCAGGAGGAACACCUAUUGCGAAGGCAGCUCGCUGGGACGUAACUGACGCUGAGACGCGAAAGCGUGGGGAGCAAACAGG
RNAcentral lists this ribosomal RNA (253 nucleotides) under uncultured bacterium. RNAcentral's name for it is "partial 16S ribosomal RNA". It matches the Rfam family "Bacterial small subunit ribosomal RNA", at positions 524 to 776 of the family's 1533-position model. The record is from RNAcentral.